GACGAACGCUGGCGGCGUGCUUAACACAUGCAAGUCGAACGGAAAGGCCCUGCUUUUGUGGGGUGCUCGAGUGGCGAACGGGUGAGUAACACGUGAGUAACCUGCCCUUGACUUUGGGAUAACUUCAGGAAACUGGGGCUAAUACCGGAUAGGAGCUCCUGCUGCAUGGUGGGGGUUGGAAAGUUUCGGCGGUUGGGGAUGGACUCGCGGCUUAUCAGCUUGUUGGUGGGGUAGUGGCUUACCAAGGCUUUGACGGGUAGCCGGCCUGAGAGGGUGACCGGCCACAGUGGGACUGAGAUACGGCCCAGACUCCUACGGGAGGCAGCAGUGGGGAAUAUUGCACAAUGGGCGGAAGCCUGAUGCAGCAACGCCGCGUGCGGGAGGACGGCCUUCGGGUUGUAAACCGCUUUCGCCUGUGACGAAGCGUGAGUGACGGUAAUGGUAAAGAAGCACCGGCUAACUACGUG
RNAcentral lists this ribosomal RNA (467 nucleotides) under uncultured bacterium. Its description in RNAcentral is "partial 16S ribosomal RNA". It matches the Rfam family "Bacterial small subunit ribosomal RNA", at positions 28 to 507 of the family's 1533-position model. The record is from RNAcentral.